GACGAACGCUGGCGGCGUGCCUAACACAUGCAAGUUGAGCGACGAACCAGGGCUUGCCCUGGGGCAAAGCAGCGAACGGGUGAGUAACACGUGGGUAACCUGCCCCGAUGACCGGGACAACCCGAGGAAACUCGAGCUAAUACCGGAUGUGGCCACUGGACUCAAGUCCGGUUGUCAAAGGAAGCUUCGGCCUCCGCAUUGGGAGGGGCCCGUGGCCCAUUAGCUAGUUGGUGAGGUAAGAGCUCACCAAGGCAACGAUGGGUAGCUGGUCUGAGAGGACGAUCAGCCACACUGGGACUGAGACACGGCCCAGACUCC
This 318-nucleotide ribosomal RNA is filed under the name uncultured bacterium. Its description in RNAcentral is "bacterial SSU rRNA". It matches the Rfam family "Bacterial small subunit ribosomal RNA", at positions 28 to 339 of the family's 1533-position model. The record is from RNAcentral.